GAUGAAGAACGUAGCGAAAUGCGAUAAGUAGUGUGAAUUGCAGAAUUCAGUGAAUCAUCGAAUCUUUGAACGCACAUUGCGCCCGCCAGUAUUCUGGCGGGCAUGCCUGUUCGAGCGUCAUUUCAACCAUCAAGCCCCCGGGCUUGUGUUGGGGACCUGCGGCUGCCCGCAGGCCCUGAAAACCAGUGGCGGGCUCGCUGUCACACCGAGCGUAGUAGCAUCAUCUCGCUCAGGGCGUGCUGCGGGUUCCGGCCGUUAAAAAGCCUCUAAUACCCAAGGUUGACCUCGGAUCAGGUAGGAAGACCCGCUGAACUUAAGCAUAUCAAUAAGCGGAGGA
Molecule: unclassified non-coding RNA, 337 nt
Filed under: soil metagenome
Description: partial contains 5.8S ribosomal RNA, internal transcribed spacer 2, and large subunit ribosomal RNA
Rfam family: 5.8S ribosomal RNA (bases 1-120)
Source: RNAcentral